GACUUGUGAGACGGGGUCAUUAAAAGCAUUGUGGCUUCCUCUUUGCUCUCACUCUUAGAUCCCUCAUUACGGCCCAAGGCAACUGCCGUGUCAUGACACUCAAGCAGCCUUACAGGGAGCUCCAUGUGGCGAGCAAAACUGAAGUCUCUUGCCAAGUGAGCGGUUAUCGUGGAAGCAGAACUUUUGGCCCCGGUCAAGUUUCCAGAAGACUGCACCAACCCCCCACCCCCACCCCGCCUGGCCCACUUCUUGCCUACAGACUCCUAAAAGACCCCAAACUAGAACCACCUGGCUAAGGCACCCCGGAAUUCCUGACCCUCAGAAACUCUGUAAAAGAAGACAUAUGUAUUCUCGCUUAACACCCUUAAACUUGGCCUACAUUUGGGCGUGGGGUGUGGUAAUGUAUCACGCAGCAAAACUAACAGAUAAAACGUCUGUAGAUACUUACCCAUCCUCUUGGAGGACGCGACUGAGGACCAGUAACAGACCUUACUUUUCUCAGAUGUUAUUAAAGGAUUUCCGAGAGUCUUUAACGCCACGAAAUGUGCCCUGCGAGUCUCCAAAAAAGAACUGAAUAGACAGCCUUUUCAAAUGUAUUGGACCAUAAAGCUGUUUUCGAGAUCCA
Molecule: long non-coding RNA, 625 nt
Organism: Lynx canadensis (Canada lynx)
Lineage: Eukaryota; Metazoa; Chordata; Mammalia; Carnivora; Felidae
Exons: 2
Source: RefSeq, a predicted model, not a curated record